Molecule: small RNA, 431 nt
Filed under: Pan troglodytes (chimpanzee)
Lineage: Eukaryota; Metazoa; Chordata; Mammalia; Primates; Hominidae
Description: retained intron
Source: RNAcentral
GAGUUCCCGGCGGGAGCCCUGGGGGCAAAUGUGCGGUCCUGACGUCGCUUGCAGGUUGGAAGACCACAGACAUGGAAGGGGCCCAUGCCUCCCUUAGCUUAGAGGACGAAGUCUCUGGGGCUGGCAGCCCCCAACGCCCGCUAGAGGGGAAGGGCGGCGAGACCCCUGCUGCCGAGGAGCCGGGGUCCCUGAAGAACUAUGCUGUCUUCGCCACAAGGGAUGUUUCAGCAGCCCCUGAGAAGGAAGAGGAGGAAGCUGAGGGCCCGCUGAGGGCGCAGGACCUGAGGGAGUCCUACAUCCAGCUCGUCCAGGGUGUGCAGGAGUGGCAGGAUGGUUGCAUGUACCAGGGGGAGUUUGGGUUGAACAUGAAGCUUGGAUAUGGCAAAUUCUCUUGGCCCACAGGCGAGUCAUACCAUGGGCAGUUUUACCGG